Oreochromis niloticus (Nile tilapia) is the source of this 3753-nucleotide long non-coding RNA. The record is from Ensembl. Lineage: Eukaryota; Metazoa; Chordata; Actinopteri; Cichliformes; Cichlidae.
AUGACAUCUUCAAGUCAGCCUGAUAACAAAAGCAGGGGUAGUCCGGUCAACAACAACAGAGACAACAAUAACACAGCAGAGUCAGUUUGCACAGGUAAUAUGAACCUUUUUAUGAGGGCACAGGGAGGAACUCGCCAUCUCGGACAAAGAAAUGCUGGGAAUUCACCUGACCGUGAUUUGCACAGGUCUGUCAAGGACCAGUAUAGCUCAAAUGUAAACAACAGAGAAUACCCAAAGCCGCCCAGUGUGCCAGAUGUUUUGUCUAGUUCUAAAAUUAGCAGAGCUACAGCACAAACAACACUGAGUCAACCUAAAGAUCCAGGCAAAUAUGAUUUAACCGAUAGUUCAUAUACAGCAAAUAUGUCUGAGUUACCAUCUGCUUUGCAAAAUCCUAGGAGCUCAGAUACACCCACAGAGACCAGCAGCAAGUACAAAAAUAAUUAUUUUCCACCCAAACCCAACAACACCCCCAUGCCUCCUCACAGCGUAGACUCACAGAGGUUUACCAGCACACCGCUCUCUCUUGAUUUCACCAGUACUGUCAAUGGUAAAGUUCAUACAUCUCAAAAUACCUCUGGUCCCCAAACCUCAAAAAUGAAAAGUAGUCCUUCCUACCACUCUCAGUCAGUUCCUUCUCAGACCAAUAUUCAUACCUCGGCAUAUACAACCUCCACUGGCUCUUUGUCCCAGAAAACAAAAUUUACCAACAAUUCCUCUGCCACACCUCUUGGAUUUGAAAGAAGUUAUGCUUCCAUUCCUAAACCUUUCCACCCUAAAACUGUGUCCAGCCUGAUUUCCACAGUCAGUUCUGUCUCCAAAAAAGAUUAUAGCGCCACUGCUUCCAACUCCUCUUCCUUUGACACUGGCAGCCACCCUGCAGCCACCACUGCCUCAAGUUCUUCCCUUCUCAGUCCUGCUGUCACCUCCGCCAUUACCUCUCCUACCUCUGCCACUGUCUCCGCUCUCCUAACGCCUCCUGCAACCCCAGUUAUUACCAACCCCACUUCAGAAACUUCAAGCCCUAAAAAAGAAGGGAAAUUUUCCAGCAGCUCAGAGAAAGAGCCAAUGAAACUUGAGAAAAAGAAAGUGAGAAGAGUGACAUGGGAUGACUCGGUGGAUCUGCAACAGUCAGAGUCCACCGCUGUGGAGAAGCCAGAGUCGUCAGAAGUCCAAGCGACCCCUCAAGCCACAUCUAAGUACCUGCGAAAUGCUCCAUCCAUCUUCUCCUUUCUGAGAUCGAGCAGUUCAACAAGUUCUUCUGUUUCUCCCCCUAAACCCAAGACCUCCAGCAUUGAGGUGGAGAAACCAGGAAAGUAUAGAUCCUUAUCAUCUGACUCGGCUGAUUUAGCAUUCAGGGAGUUUGAGCGAAACAAGCAAAGAGCUGGUGAUACAAUGAUUUUUAACCAGGGAAGACAGGACUUGCCCACACCAAGGCAUGAAAGGACACUAUCAGUGGAAUCUGGCACAGUUCAGUGCCGUACUUCAGCUCCUCUCUCCCUCCCUCCUGACUUUUCAAGUGGCUAUAAGGUUCGUUAUAGCUCUCCUCCUUACUCCACGCUCAUGUCUGCAAGGAUGACACAAGGGGAGACAAAUACGAGAACAACCAGACCAACCCUCUUCUCACAACCCUCCCAGUCAAAUUACACCCCAAAUCUCUCUGUAAAUACUGACCCAGUUUCAGUCAUGACCUUAUCCACAUCCAAACCUCCUAUGUCUCCUCCCAGACCCUCCCUUUCCCUGUCCUUACCCCUCCAAAAGAAACCUCCCAAACAAGAAAGUCCAAAUGUUGAGGUUUCAGAAACUGAUCGAGCAAGCAACAAUAACAGCGGAGAUAAAGGCCAAGAGCGAAAGCUAUUACUUGUAGACAACAGAAUUCACAUCAGACCUCCUUCCCUGCAAGGUGAUAAGGCAGACAGCUCGACAUACGUAACUGAGACACUGGUUUACAGCCUUAAAUCCAAAGUAGAUGCAUCGACAGCCACAAAAAAAACCACACCUAAUGCUUUACAGCAUACCAAUAACACGCCGGUUUCCGUGGAGACCAAGUUUAGUCAACAAUCGCUGACAGGCCAGAGUAAGGGAGCAGCAGGUGAACCAUGUCGUCAUUCAGGUCAGAGCUCCAGCAGCAGCAGCUCAACAGAGAGUCAGUCCCGGGAGACAGAAGACUCCAGCAAAAGCAUGAAGGAGACUAUAAUGGGGAAAAGCAGGUUUUUCUCAGUAGACGUUAAUAAUGAACAAAACACAAAGAGAAGCCGAUUUGCACUGAAGAAGAGCGUCAGUACACCAAACUCCAGUUUGACGAGGUCAGAGUCAGACAGGGCCAAGAGUAACAACAAAGUGGAUCAAGUCUUUAGCAAACUAAAGCAAAAAUUAAGCACUAGAUGGUCAACCUCACAAGCACCUUCUGUUAGCGGAUCAAGCGAUGUGAGCGAUGUGAGUGUUGAGAGUAGCAAAAUUCCAGAGGAAACAGUGCCAGAGAAAGUAAUGGUGCUGAACGACAAUCUGGACACACAGGCUUCGAACAGGUGGACGCAAGAUAGAUACAUUCUGAUACCGUCCUCGGCUGCUGGAAACACAAAAGUUGGAAAUCAGCGCUCCAGCUGGACCGAAAAAUCAUCUCUAGAAACGGACCAUGACAUGCAAAAUGCUUGUGCAGAACAAAUUUCUGAAAAGAAAGCCCCAGUUUAUCUGACAGUCCACGGUCCAACAGUUGACCAGUUAGACCUUGAACAAGACCAAGUAGAUUAUAAAGCAACAAGCCUCUCUUCCAGAGAUCCAAGUCCCAGUAGAAGUCCCGCUUUUCCAGCUUCAUUCAGGAGGUCCACACCUAGCCCCAGGAGCCCAUUCUCUCCCUUCUCCUCUCUUUCACCAAUGUCCCCACUUUCCUCGUCUGAUGUAACAGACGACAGCGUCUUCUACAGCCCAAAGCUGCACCGCCGCAGAGAAUCCUCCUCUCCGUGUGAGCACGGAGAAGGGAUCAGCUUGGGAGUUCCGAGAAAAAGCCGGGCAUCCGUAGGUCCUCCAUGUGUGAGCCCAGGACAUGACAAUGAAAACUUGGCAUCCUCUUAUGCAGACUUAAAGUAUGGCAUUGAGCCUGGGAAGUCCUUUUCUGUGAGUUCUGUUCUCUCCAGUCGACCCUCUGGACCGGGACGUAUUUCCACAGGAUCCAGAUUCAUGAGUGUGGGUGACCUCUCUCAGUCUGCCUUCUCUUGUGGAGAAAAUAGUGGAGAUUUUGAUCAGUGGUCUGUCAAAUCUGAUUGGAGCACAGUGUAUGACUUCCAGGCUUCUGAGGAUGGUCGAAAAUCAUAUUUCCCAAGUGAUCCAGGUAAAAUGCGAUCAAGAUCUUUGCCUCGAUCGCUGACCAGGUGCUUGGCAAACUGGAGCUCUGGAGACUCUCCUCAACAUGUAAAUGCUACAGCUUCCAAGCCUGCUCACCUCCGGAGCCCAAACAUGAACAUUUGCCAGUUUUUGUGGGAUGCAGAGGCCCCGCCCACCCCUCCUCCAACACCUCCUCUGUCACCAGUGUCCAGGCGCAUGUCCAAACCACCCAGCCUUUCCUCUCCUACCUUUCCUAGCUCGCCAGGAGUACUACAGCCGGGGGACAGCCAGUCCAGGGGGCAUUUGCCCUCCAGAGGUUAUGUAUCCAGCCUUAGCACCUUUGAUGAGUCAUCAGACAGCAGCUCGGACACAACAACUGAUGACGAAUACUACUUAGAAACAGAUGAUGAGGGAGAAAAAGAGACAGAACUGUAA